AGAGUUUGAUCCUGGCUCAGAAUGAACGCUGGCGGCAUGCCUAACACAUGCAAGUCGAACGAAGCCUUCGGGCUUAGUGGCGCACGGGUGCGUAACGCGUGGGAAUCUGCCCUUGGGUUUGGAAUAACAGUUAGAAAUGACUGCUAAUACCAAAUGAUGUCGCAAGACCAAAGAUUUAUCGCCCAAGGAUGAGCCCGCGUGAGAUUAGCUAGUUGGUGAGGUAAAAGCUCACCAAGGCGACGAUCUCUAGCUGGUCUGAGAGGAUGAUCAGCCACACUGGGACUGAGACACGGCCCAGACUCCUACGAGAGGCAGCAGUGGGGAAUAUUGGACAAUGGGCGAAAGCCUGAUCCAGCAAUGCCGCGUGAGUGAUGAAGGCCUUAGGGUUGUAAAGCUCUUUUACCCGGGAUGAUAAUGACAGUACCGGGAGAAUAAGCUCCGGCUAACUCCGUGCCAGCAGCCGCGGUAAUACGGAGGGAGCUAGCGUUAUUCGGAAUUACUGGGCGUAAAGCGUACGUAGGCGGCUUUGCAAGUUAGAGGUGAAAGCCUGGAGCUCAACUCCAGAACUGCCUUUAAAACUGCAUCGCUUGAAUCCAGGAGAGGUGAGUGGAAUUCCGAGUGUAGAGGUGAAAUUCGUAGAUAUUCGGAAGAACACCAGUGGCGAAGGCGGCUCACUGGACUGGUAUUGACGCUGAGGUACGAAAGCGUGGGGAGCAAACAGGAUUAGAUACCCUGGUAGUCCACGCCGUAAACGAUGAUAACUAGCUGUCAGGGCACUUGGUGCUUUGGUGGCGCAGCUAACGCAUUAAGUUAUCCGCCUGGGGAGUACGGCCGCAAGGUUAAAACUCAAAGGAAUUGACGG
RNAcentral lists this ribosomal RNA (862 nucleotides) under uncultured bacterium. Its description in RNAcentral is "bacterial SSU rRNA". It matches the Rfam family "Bacterial small subunit ribosomal RNA", at positions 8 to 916 of the family's 1533-position model. The record is from RNAcentral.